RNAcentral lists this ribosomal RNA (470 nucleotides) under uncultured bacterium. RNAcentral's name for it is "bacterial SSU rRNA". It matches the Rfam family "Bacterial small subunit ribosomal RNA", at positions 28 to 507 of the family's 1533-position model. The record is from RNAcentral.
GACGAACGCUGGCGGCGUGCCUAACACAUGCAAGUCGAGCGGAGACAUGAGGGAGCUUGCUCCCGAAUGUUUUAGCGGCGGACGGGUGAGUAACGCGUGAGCAACCUUUCUCUCAGUGGGGAAUAACACACCGAAAGGUGUACUAAUACCGCAUGAGACCACAGUGCCGCAUGGUACAGGGGUCAAAGAUUUAUUGCUGAGAGGUGGGCUCGCGUCCGAUUAGAUAGUUGGUGAGGUAACGGCUCACCAAGUCGACGAUCGGUAGCCGACCUGAGAGGGUGAUCGGCCACAUUGGGACUGAGACACGGCCCAAACUCCUACGGGAGGCAGCAGUGGGGAAUAUUGGGCAAUGGGCGAAAGCCUGACCCAGCAACGCCGCGUGAAGGAAGAAGGUCUUCGGAUCGUAAACUUCUGUCCUAAGUGAAGAGAAGAAGACGGUAGCUUAGGAGGAAGCCCCGGCUAACUACGUG